GCGGCCCUACGGGGCGCAGCAGUGAGGAAUAUUGGUCAAUGGCCGGGAGGCUGAACCAGCCACGUCGCGUGAGGGAAGACGGCCCUACGGGUUGUAAACCUCUUUUGUCAGGGAGCAAGGUGCAGGUCGGGACCUGCUGUGAGAGUACCUGAAGAAAAAGCAUCGGCUAACUCCGUGCCAGCAGCCGCGGUAAUACGGAGGAUGCGAGCGUUAUCCGGAUUUAUUGGGUUUAGAGGGUGCGUAGGCGGACGCUUAAGUCAGCGGUAAAAUUGCGGGGCUCAACCUCGUCGAGCCGUUGAAACUGG
Molecule: ribosomal RNA, 305 nt
Filed under: uncultured bacterium
Lineage: Bacteria
Description: bacterial SSU rRNA
Rfam family: Bacterial small subunit ribosomal RNA
Source: RNAcentral